GGUAGCAAUAUCUUGAGCCGAGCGGCGUAAGGGGCAGUAACACGUGGGUAACGUACCCUCAGGCCGGGGAUAGCUACGGGAAACUGUAGGUAAUACCCGAUAACACUUCACGGUCAAAGGUGUAAUUCCACCUGGGGAGCGGCUCACGUCGUAUUAGCUAGUUGGUAGGGUAACGGCCUACCAAGGCAAAGAUGCGUAGCGGGUGUGAGAGCACGACCCGCGCCACUGGCACUGAGACACUGGCCAGACACCUACGGGUGGCUGCAGUCGAGGAUCUUCGGCAAUGAGCGCAAGCUUGACCGAGCGACGCCGCGUGCGGGAUGAAGGCCUUCGGGUUGUAAACCGCUUUGGUCGGGGAGAAAGGCUUUCGGGGUUCACUCCGGGAGUCUGAUCUAUCCGAGAAACAAGCACGGGCUAAGUUCGUGCCAGCAGCCGCGGUAAGACGAACCGUGCGAACGUUGUUCGGAAUCACUGGGCUUAAAGGGCGCGUAGGCGGCAUGACAAGUCUGGGGUGAAAUCCUCCGGCUUAACCGGAGAAUUGCCUGGGAAACUAGCAUGCUCGAGGGAGGUAGAGGUGGCCGGAACUUCCAGUGGAGCGGUGAAAUGCGUUGAUAUUGGAAGGAACGCCGGAGCCGAAAGGGGGCCACUGGACCUCUUCUGACGCUGAUGCGCGAAAGCUAGGGUAGCGAACGGGAUUAGAUACCCCGGUAGUCCUAGCCCUAAACGAUGGGUACUAGAUGGUGGACCUGACACGGGUUCACCGUCGAAGCAAAAGUGGUAAGUACCCCGCCUGGGGAGUAUGGUCGCAAGGCUG
This 814-nucleotide ribosomal RNA is filed under the name uncultured Planctomycetota bacterium. RNAcentral's name for it is "bacterial SSU rRNA". It matches the Rfam family "Bacterial small subunit ribosomal RNA", at positions 75 to 896 of the family's 1533-position model. Lineage: Bacteria; Pseudomonadati; Planctomycetota. The record is from RNAcentral.